AGAGUUUGAUCCUGGCUCAGGACGAACGCUGGCGGCGUGCCUAAUACAUGCAAGUCGAGCGAAUCGAUGGGAGCUUGCUCCCUGAGAUUAGCGGCGGACGGGUGAGUAACACGUGGGCAACCUGCCUAUAAGACUGGGAUAACUUCGGGAAACCGGAGCUAAUACCGGAUACGUUCUUUUUUCGCAUGAGAGAAGAUGGAAAGACGGUUUACGCUGUCACUUAUAGAUGGGCCCGCGGCGCAUUAGCUAGUUGGUGAGGUAAUGGCUCACCAAGGCGACGAUGCGUAGCCGACCUGAGAGGGUGAUCGGCCACACUGGGACUGAGACACGGCCCAGACUCCUACGGGAGGCAGCAGUAGGGAAUCUUCCGCAAUGGACGAAAGUCUGACGGAGCAACGCCGCGUGAACGAAGAAGGCCUUCGGGUCGUAAAGUUCUGUUGUUAGGGAAGAACAAGUACCAGAGUAACUGCUGGUACCUUGACGGUACCUAACCAGAAAGCCACGGCUAACUACGUGCCAGCAGCCGCGGUAAUACGUAGGUGGCAAGCGUUGUCCGGAAUUAUUGGGCGUAAAGCGCGCGCAGGUGGUUCCUUAAGUCUGAUGUGAAAGCCCACGGCUC
This 619-nucleotide ribosomal RNA is filed under the name uncultured marine bacterium. Its description in RNAcentral is "bacterial SSU rRNA". It matches the Rfam family "Bacterial small subunit ribosomal RNA", at positions 8 to 610 of the family's 1533-position model. The record is from RNAcentral.